UGGUGGGUCUAAAUGGACUCGAACCAUCGACCUCACGCUUAUCAGGCGUGCGCUCUAACCACCUGAGCUAUAGACCC
Molecule: transfer RNA, 77 nt
Filed under: Clostridium perfringens
Lineage: Bacteria; Bacillati; Bacillota; Clostridia; Eubacteriales; Clostridiaceae
Description: tRNA-Ile
Source: RNAcentral